GACGAACGCUGGCGGCGUGCCUAAUACAUGCGAGUAGAACGCUGAAGGAGGAGCUUGCUUCUCUGGAUGAGUUGCGAACGGGUGAGUAACGCGUAGGUAACCUGCCUGGUAGCGGGGGAUAACUAUUGGAAACGAUAGCUAAUACCGCAUAAGAGUAGAUGUUGCAUGACAUUUGCUUAAAAGGUGCAAUUGCAUCACUACCAGAUGGACCUGCGUUGUAUUAGCUAGUUGGUGGGGUAACGGCUUACCAAGGCGACGAUACAUAGCCGACCUGAGAGGGGGAUCGGCCACACUGGGACUGAGACAAGGCCCAGACUCCUACGGGAGGCAGCAGUAGGGAAUCUUCGGCAAUGGACGGAAGUCUGACCGAGCAACGCCGCGUGAGUGAAGAAGGUUUUCGGAUCGUAAAGCUCUGUUGUAAGAGAAGAACGAGUGUGAGAGUGGAAAGUUCACACUGUGACGGUAUCUUACCAGAAAGGGACGGCUAACUACGUG
This 495-nucleotide ribosomal RNA is filed under the name uncultured bacterium. RNAcentral's name for it is "partial 16S ribosomal RNA". It matches the Rfam family "Bacterial small subunit ribosomal RNA", at positions 28 to 507 of the family's 1533-position model. The record is from RNAcentral.